This 246-nucleotide ribosomal RNA is filed under the name uncultured bacterium. RNAcentral's name for it is "partial 16S ribosomal RNA". It matches the Rfam family "Bacterial small subunit ribosomal RNA", at positions 523 to 769 of the family's 1533-position model. The record is from RNAcentral.
AUACGGAGGAUCCGAGCGUUAUCCGGAUUUAUUGGGUUUAAAGGGAGCGUAGGCGGACGCUUAAGUCAGUUGUGAAAGUUUGCGGCUCACCGUAAAAUUGCAGUUGAUACUGGGUGUCUUGAGUACAGUAGAGGCAGGCGGAAUUCGUGGUGUAGCGGUGAAAUGCUUAGAUAUCACGAAGAACUCCGAUUGCGAAGGCAGCCUGCUGGACUGUAACUGACGCUGAUGCUCGAAAGUGUGGGUAUC